AGCUGGUCAUAACGACUCUGAACCCAUUCAGCAAUCAGUCAACUUGGGGUUUGAGGGUGCCAUUUUUUAUUUAUUUUUCUCUACAUUUUUUCUUUCUUUUUUAUUAUUAUUUUUUUUAUUUUGAUUUUAUUUUAUUUUUCACCCCCUUUUUUUUUUACAUUUGUAAUACCCCAAUUUGACUGUUGCCGGAUUCUCAAGAUGCGGCUGAAUGAUCUGCUUUCAUGCUCAAGUAGACGGGUAAUCUCGUCAGGAAUCUCUUCAACAUCAUCUUCCUCUGCCUCGAAUACAGGGAAUUCAAAAUUGGGAGAUGGCGUUG
Molecule: long non-coding RNA, 316 nt
Filed under: Lathyrus oleraceus (garden pea)
Lineage: Eukaryota; Viridiplantae; Streptophyta; Magnoliopsida; Fabales; Fabaceae
Description: Pisum sativum (pea) long non-coding RNA (PSAT_LNC033235)
Source: RNAcentral